Molecule: long non-coding RNA, 880 nt
Organism: Manis pentadactyla (Chinese pangolin)
Lineage: Eukaryota; Metazoa; Chordata; Mammalia; Pholidota; Manidae
Exons: 4
Source: RefSeq, a predicted model, not a curated record
GGUCGAAGUGCAACCCCAGCACAAGUUCGACAGAGGUCCCUGGAGGCCUACCGAAAACAGAACUUGCCUGGCUUUGGAGCAGAGCGCGAGGCGAAGCUGACCGUUGCCCAGUAUAGGUAUCCAGCAAAAUACAAAUCUAUCAAGACAGUCCUAUCCAACCUUUUAUCUCCAGAAGGGCUUUCAAGCAUAUGUACUAAAAAAACCCACCUGGUUCACUUCUUCCUAAAGCCUGUAAGGGUUGAGUCUUUCGUGAUUUCACAAUUCCUGGAGGUGGCCCAGCAGAACGCUCAGCCCUGUGUGUGUUCAUGAUGGAAACCUUGGCUCGGUUACCUUCCUCGAGUGUGGAGUCUUUGCAGAUGGAAGGAUUCAGCAGCGGGGCUGCGCACUGCAGAAGACAGGGGUCAACCUGGACAAAGCAAUAUCAAGCUGCAGCUCAUGAGGACAUCCCUGCCAUGAACCAGCUGUCUGAUUGGCUAAUGAAAAACUUGCCAGAUAACGACAAUGAAGAAAAUUUGAUUCAUGGAGGUUUCAAACUAGUUAACAUAGUUUUCCACCUUAAAGAAGUACUGUAAGCCAUGUUUAUAAUAAAUUGAGUAGGUCUGAUUUGGAACACAAAUACUAAGUAGAUGUUUCCCCCCAGAGUGCUAAAAGAGCCCAGCCCAUUCCCACUCUUCCUCUACAUUCAGGAUUAUCUUCACCACUCAAAACUUUUAGAAAUGCAUCCAGGAGAUUUUCUGGCAUAGGUAGCUGCCUGCCUCUAAGGCUACAUCUGAUCUUGAGUGAUGUUUGAUUUACUGCUUAAGAACGAUUUGGGAAUUUACAUGCAUGUCUUUUUUCUUCAAAGAAGUUUUUCAUCCAGUAAAAAUAUUUAGUUUAUCCA